GGGAUGUUUGUUUUGGAGUCCUGUUCUGCCUAGGCAGGAGGUCAAAACAAGAGAUACAGAAGGGCACAGAAACAGAACAUAAUAGCCAGGAACUUCUUUUCCUACUGGCCUUGACUUCAGUUUCUAUACUCUUCCAUGAACAAGACUCAACACCACCACCAAGAGCCAGGUGAUGUUUUGGGUUGUUUUGUUUUGUUUUGUUUUGCCAGCUCAGCCCCUCCUAGAUGAACUGGACAGAUGUUAUCAAUAUGGUAAAGUGGUCUGAGAACAAUCCUGGCCGGGAAACAGAGGAAUGCGCAUGUGAAGAGCACAGAUGGACUCAGACCUGCAGCGCAGUCGCUGCAGAGGUGCGGACUUCAUCCCCAGCCCCCUGCUCUGCCAUCAUUGUCCGACCCGCUGCAGAGAUGAGCACACACUCUGAGAAGAAACCUUUCCAUUCUCGCCACGCUGAAAAAAAAAAAAAAAAACACCACUGUGUUAUGAAUUGCUGUCCGAACCCUGGUAUUUUUGAUCCACUGUUAAAAAAAAAAAAAAAUUACCUUGUUUCCGUCUCAACAUCUGACAGGUGACUUCUUUUCGAGAGGACGUGUUAGUUACCUACAAAACUACUACUUUUUGAAAGAUUUUGUAUACACACUAACUAACCAAGGUAACAGCAGUUUACCUCCCGAUUUUCUUAGAUUUUAGGAGACUCUUAAUCAUUGGUGCUCUGAAUCUGAAAGCCUUGGGCUCCAAGACUUCCCAUGUGCGGUACAAGAGAGGCGGUCCUAGAGAAAGGGGUGGUAGGAUUCGUGUACGCAUUUAUCUUCUGAGCAGUGGUCUCCAUGGGGGGACUCUGAUGCACGUCUAUAAGCUCCAGGACAGAAGCCAAGGUUGACUGUGGGACCUUAGGAAGCCACUUGAUAAUGACCCUAGUUCUCCACCCAACUCCAGCCAUCUCAGACACUUAGUCACCUUCAAAGGGCUCCACAAGAAUCGUCACCCUCCCUCCAUUUUCAAUUGGUUUGCUGCAUUCAGGAAGGUGUCCCCUAAUGAGCAGCGAGAAUUGGGCUGCUUAUUUCCCAACAAUAGUCACUUACCUCUGGCCAAGUACCCUUCCAUAGAGACACAACCCUCUGCCCGCCCUCCAUACUGUGUGCCAAAACCCAGGCGUGGCCUAAAGACUGAGUUUAAUGCCUCCUAUAGGGACUCAAUGAAUGCUAGAGCAGGAGACUAUCGAUUUAGUUAAAGGUUAAAAGUAUAUAAAUAAAUAUAUACAUAUAUAAAUAAAUAUACAUAUAAGAUAAUACCCAUGACAAGGAUCAACAGAGUGCCAAAUAUUCAAACUGUACAGAGUUACCCUCACCAGGACUAAACCACUUUAUGUAAGUCUCUUUUUCAUGCCUUUUCGGGUUCUUUUGAUAAACCCUUCUUCCCAGCAUGCCGUAUCCUAUCUGAUGUAUCUCUCAUUGCCAACCGGGUUUCUUCCUUCUCAUCAAUAAUUUGUCAGAAUGACGGUCAUCAUUUUAAGUCAUUUUUAUUUAAAGAUUACUUUUUUAAGUUUUCUUUCCUCUGUGAGGUUUUUUCUUUUUAAUUUUUACUGUUAGGUGACUAUGGAAACACCAUUGUCCAGAAUCUUUUAUGAUAACACCUCUUUCAUUUGAUGUCUGUAUUGCCAAUAUUCACCUCCUGUAAAUAGUUCUGCAAUUAAAUUUUUGGAGAAAAGU
This 1706-nucleotide long non-coding RNA is filed under the name Mus musculus (house mouse). Its description in RNAcentral is "long non-coding RNA chr8:14851712-14853418". Lineage: Eukaryota; Metazoa; Chordata; Mammalia; Rodentia; Muridae. The record is from RNAcentral.